ACGACCGCUGGCGGCGUGCUUAACACAUGCAAGUCGAACGGAAAGGCCCUGCUUUUGUGGGGUGCUCGAGUGGCGAACGGGUGAGUAACACGUGAGUAACCUGCCCUUGACUUUGGGAUAACUUCAGGAAACUGGGGCUAAUACCGGAUAGGAGCUCCUGCUGCAUGGUGGGGGUUGGAAAGUUUCGGCGGUUGGGGAUGGACUCGCGGCUUAUCAGCUUGUUGGUGGGGUAGUGGCUUACCAAGGCUUUGACGGGUAGCCGGCCUGAGAGGGUGACCGGCCACAUUGGGACUGAGAUACGGCCCAGACUCCUACGGGAGGCAGCAGUGGGGAAUAUUGCACAAUGGGCGGAAGCCUAAUGCAGCAACGCCGCGUGCGGGAUGACGGCCUUCGGGUUGUAAACCGCUUUCGCCUGUGACGAAGCGUGAGUGACGGUAAUGGGUAAAGAAGCACCGGCUAACUACGUG
This 467-nucleotide ribosomal RNA is filed under the name uncultured bacterium. RNAcentral's name for it is "partial 16S ribosomal RNA". It matches the Rfam family "Bacterial small subunit ribosomal RNA", at positions 29 to 507 of the family's 1533-position model. The record is from RNAcentral.